Long non-coding RNA from Exaiptasia diaphana, 680 nucleotides. RefSeq lists it as uncharacterized. NCBI's taxonomy places the organism in Eukaryota, Metazoa, Cnidaria, Anthozoa, Actiniaria, Aiptasiidae. The record is from RefSeq and is a predicted model, not a curated record. The transcript has 2 exons.
UCUAAGAAAAAAUCCAAGAAACUUUGCAUUCCCAGAAUCUUCUGUAUAUAUACGGAAACAGUCCUGUGUCCCUUGGGUUAGACGAAAUUGCGCCAAGAUAUCAUUUCGCAAAUAUCUUUCUCAGCAGCCUCCUUACACCAACGACGUGUUUGCCGAUUCAUUGGACUAAAUGCAUACUAGUCAUAGACAGAAAGAAGAAGGUUUCAACAUGGACUAGUAUAUCUUGCAUAUAUAUAAUAUACAUGCACGUAUUCCAAAAACUUUGUCGGGAAUAACAGCGAACGGCAAUUGUCGAGCGGUGAUUACAUGACCAUGGGACUUCGGUUGCCCUGUUUAACUUACAAAAUUUCACUUGAAGAUUAACCUUGGAUUAAACCUUGGAUUAACCUUAUAAGUUUGUAAUCAUCAUUAUCACUGUUUGUAAUUUCGAAAUAAUGCUUUCGUUCACAAUCCCGAGACACAUUCAAGAGAUCAUAAUCUCCCAAGCAACUAGGACAAGGAUGAGUUAAUAUAUAAAACUGCAUCUUAAUUAAAAAUGGUCUAUGUUAUUGUAAAAAAUCUAUUUCGUAAUGCACACUCUUGAGAAAGAUUUCCAACACUCCAAAAAAAAUCGUACCUCAGCGUGCGUAUGUAAUAAGUCCCGUUCAUAAAUAAAAAUAAAUGAGUGAAAUAUUAACCAA